UGGGGAAUAUUGCACAAUGGGGGAAACCCUGAUGCAGCCAUGCCGCGUGUGUGAAGAAGGCCUUCGGGUUGUAAAGCACUUUCAGUAGUAAGGAAAGGUAAGUGGUUAAUAACCGCUUACUGUGACGUUAGCUACAGAAGAAGCACCGGCUAACUCCGUGCCAGCAGCCGCGGUAAUACGGAGGGUGCAAGCGUUAAUCGGAAUUACUGGGCGUAAAGCGCACGCAGGCGGUUUGUUAAGUCAGAUGUGAAAUCCCCCGGGGCCCAACCUGGGAACUGCAUCUGAUACUGGCAAGCUUGAGUCUCGUAGAGGGGGGUAGAAGUUCCAGGUGUAGCGGUGAAAUGCGUAGAGAUCUGGAGGAAUACCGGUGGCGAAGGCGGCCCCCUGGACGAACGACUGACGCUCAGGUGCGAAAGCGUGGGGAGGCAAACAGGAUUAGAUACC
Molecule: ribosomal RNA, 444 nt
Filed under: uncultured bacterium
Lineage: Bacteria
Description: bacterial SSU rRNA
Rfam family: Bacterial small subunit ribosomal RNA
Source: RNAcentral